This 483-nucleotide ribosomal RNA is filed under the name uncultured bacterium. Its description in RNAcentral is "partial 16S ribosomal RNA". It matches the Rfam family "Bacterial small subunit ribosomal RNA", at positions 28 to 507 of the family's 1533-position model. The record is from RNAcentral.
GACGAACGCUGGCGGCGUGCUUAACACAUGCAAGUCGAACGCUGAAGCUCAGCUUUUGUUGGGUGGAUGAGUGGCGAACGGGUGAGUAACACGUGAGUAACCUGCCCCCUUCUUUGGGAUAACGCCCGGAAACGGGUGCUAAUACUGGAUAUUCACUGGUCUUCGCAUGGGGGUUGGUGGAAAGGGUUUUUCUGGUGGGGGAUGGGCUCGCGGCCUAUCAGCUUGUUGGUGGGGUGAUGGCCUACCAAGGCUUUGACGGGUAGCCGGCCUGAGAGGGUGACCGGUAACAUUGGGACUGAGAUACGGCCCAGACUCCUACGGGAGGCAGCAGUGGGGAAUAUUGCACAAUGGGCGAAAGCCUGAUGCAGCGACGCCGCGUGAGGGAUGGAGGCCUUCGGGUUGUGAACCUCUUUCGCUCAUGGUCAAGCCGCAACAAUGGUUGUGGUGAGGGUAGUGGGUAAAGAAGCGCCGGCUAACUACGUG